GGUUAUGUAGAUUGAUUUUAGACCAGAGUAUAAGUUGGGACUUUCACAUAAGAAAAAUAAAAAGAUUAUUGAAUUGAAGAUUCGCGUAGUAUAAUGACAAGUGAAGCAGAAUCACAGCCUAUCCUCUUACCAAGCGUUCAUUUUGCACAUGCAAGCUCCUUCAAAUUCAAGCAAUUCAUCAAAGAGAAAACUGAAACAGAAGUGACACCUGUGAGAAAAACUGUGGUAGUGCCCGAGCUAUCCGGAUCGGCAGUUAAAAAAGAGUAUGAUCGAAUUGUUUGUGAUGCAACCACGUCUAGUGCCAACUCGAAACUUUGUAGUGUAGUUAGAAGAAACAUUAGCAAGAAGAAAAGUAAAGCUUUCGAUAAAGUUUUGACUGUUAAUGCUUUAAUGAGAGCUGUUGAAAGAGACGAUGUAAAAACAGUUGGUGAAUACUUGGAACAUAAUUUAAACUUUGUUGUCGACAGUAGAGACGAGUUUGGAUGGAGUGCUCUUAUGUGCGCGAGCUGUGCCGGGGCUGAAAAUGUUGUAAAAUUGCUUUUAAAUUGUGAUAUUGAUGUUGCAAUUAAGGAUAAAAAAGGCAACGAUUGUUUAUCAUUGGCUAAGAGUAGAGGUAACAAAAACAUUGUAAAACUAAUAGAACAUCAUAUAAAUAAUCCAAAAGAAAGAACAUUGGACGAUGUUUUUGUCAUAGAUGUGGACUCAGAUGAAGCAAAAAAUUCGGGUUCUUAUUAUUGUAAGGAUUGUAAAGAAUCUAUGCCAACUUCCGCUAAACCUAACCAUCUGACAUCUACAGUACACAAUUUCAACGCUGCGCGCAAAUCAGGUUUGAAAACGUCUUAUGGUAUAUCGGAAAGUAAUAAAGGCUUUCAAAUGCUUUUAAAAACUGGAUGGGACAGAGAAAAAGGCCUCGGCCCCGAAGGAGAAGGCCACAAGUUCCCGCCCAAAGUGAUGCUCAAGCAGGACCGGACAGGGCUGGGCGUCAACAAGUAUGUUGCCAAAGUCACACACAACCUAGAUGAUGUACCUAAAAAACGACUAGAAAGGACCAACACAAUAAAUAAGAGGCAAAAAGAGAAGAAGUUGAGGAAGGACAAGAUGAAGGAUAGAGAGCUACGUAGGAUUUUGAGCUAGAUGACUGACAAUCACCGAGAUAACAAGUGGAUGUGACACUCCAAAACAUGUGCCCGAUUGAAGUGGACCAAGGCCGAUGAAAUAUUAUAAAGAUGAAGAAAAUAAUAUCGAUUUGUCAUAGAAAUGGAUGACUCCUUCAUUACUGUAUUCCUGCUAAUAACAAAGAGCUGGGAAGAAGAUGCAGGGUGAAGUCGGCGGGCAAGACCAGUUAUCGGAUGCAGGAGCAAAGUGGCCACAUCGUAUAUAUAAUAAUGUGGCGGAAGUUUCCGUCCAGUUCUCGCCGUUCAUCCGAUCAAGUUGGCUCUUAGCUUUGUUCAGCGCACUCGUCCCACGGAGCUUAGCGCCUCCGGAAGUAGGAAAUGUGCGCUCUCCUAGUCAUCUAAAAAACAUUUUGAAAACAAUAUAACACAAUUAAUAAACACAGACAUACCUUAUUGUAAUCAGUACUUGAUUGAUUGAAAUUCGCGAUGACUUUUUCGAAAUUAAAGAGUUGAUAGAUAGCAUCUGAGUGCCGGUGUUAAUUUGCUUCAAAUAGUUCAUCUACACAAAAAAACAUUGUGCAAGAACGUUGUUGAUGGGAUCUGUGAUUUAUUCGUGGGAUUGGGUAAUAUUUGGCGACAGUUUUAAUCGACCUUGAUUGGAAGGUUCAUGAACCCCGAUUUGGACAUUGUUGUGAGAUUGUUACCAGCUUAAUCUACAAAACUCCAGCGCCAUGAGAUUAUCGGCGAUUCUAACUCUGCUAGCCACACUGUUCACUGUGAUGGUGCAAGCCGGCUAUUACGUGGCGGGGCCUUCCUACUACAAAACCAUGGUUAAGUACGUGUACCGCCCUCCCACCAAGCGGAUCAGCUCAUCCUACUCCUACUACAAGCCCUACCGGCGCUCGAGACGGGUCUACUACAAGCGCCUCUACUCGGCUGGAACCGGCAAGAAAUAUGUGCUAGUGUGGUAUUAAAAAAAACUAUUACUAAAAACUUUUAAUCAGAAUUUUCGUGAUUUAAAUUAUCAUUCACAAGCAUAAUAUUUGUUUCUCUGCAAUCCUAAAUUAUGAAUUCAAUUGUGGAACAUCUCUCAAUACGUGUUAUAUCAACCAUUCAAAAACGUCAUAUUUGUUUGGGCAUAGAACCUCAAUGCCCUAGAAGCCCAGAUUGUGUUUCAAUUUCAAUAUAACAACACUCAGUAAGAAAACUGAUCUACCAUUCAGGUAGAUAUAAUUUUCCAAAGUUGAAAACUUCAACCUUAUAGUGAGGUCCACGUUAAAAUGGCAGUGAAGAAGGAUAGGAGAACAUCGUUGCCGAUUCUCUGCCUUGCCACUUCCUUCUCAGCAGCUGAUACCGGUAUAUCUGAUGUAAUAAUAACUGUCUAUUCCUGUUAAAUAUAAUCAAUUAUAUUUUACUCGACUUUCAAUGAUCGUUAAGAUUCAAUCUUUCAAUGAUUUAAUAAUAAAUGUUCAUAAUUGAGAUUAAAUGAAUAUUUUGUUAAUUAUAUUUCUACAUGUCUCGUUGAAAAACGAGCUAGCAACGUUGCGGAGCUAGAAAAGGAUAGCACUAUCUGAUUUUUUGAAUGAUAGUCAAGGUUAGCAACACCAAUUUUAAUCAAAUACUGCCAUUAUAACGUGAACCUCACUAUAGAAGAUUAUUUCAGUAAAUCUACCAUUUAAAAACACAAUAUCAAGAUUGAAAGUAUGAAACGUUGUAAGCUGAUACCAUACCCGUCGAUGAAGAUAGAUAGAAGAAGAUAGAAGAAGAUAGGAGCAUAUCCUAAGAGAUGAAUUUAUCUGCUAUUCAAUAAAAUAAUAUUUCUCAUGAUAAACUCCUUGAACGUUAUAAAAGUUAUAUUUUAGUUGAAAGCUUCCCUUAGAUUAAAAUGUGUUUGAGGGCGUACCAGCUUGAUAGUCAGAAUUUUUAUUUUUGAAGUGAAUGUGAAUAUUAUUCUGUAUUAUUAUAGAUUCUGUAUGUUUUUGAUUGUCUGAAUGUGUUUUGUAAAUUGACUUAUAUUUUUUAAUUAGGUAAAUAUGAAUUGAUGACAGCCAGAAGUGUUUGUAUUACUGUAGUUAUAGAACUGUAUAAAUGAACAAAUUUUGAAGACAUUGCUUCCAAAUGUAAAUAGAAACAUAGAAGUUGUUAUUGAUAAAAAAUUAUAACUCAUAUUCCAAUUAACAAUAGAGAUUUAACUUCUUGACAUAACACGAUUUCAUUCCAAUAAACGCUGUAACUUACUUUUUUUGUGUGUUCGAAGGUUUGCCUUUUGCAUUCUUUUAACAUUGGCAACCGUAUAUUGAAUUUUCAAGAAAACUAAAAAAAAUGCGUUAUAUAUUAACACUAUAUUUUAAUCUUGAUUCUUUCAUUUUGGGAAGAACACAUUUGAUAAUAGAAAAUUCAAAUUGAAAAUGAUGAAAUCGAAAAUUUUAAUGGUCGAUAACCAUAAACAUUAAUUUUCGAGCUGAACAUUAGUUUAUGGUCUAAAUUCAAUUUCUUGAUAGCUAUAUCAUACUAAAUUCUCAAUCCAGUUAUGAAAUUAUCAAAUGCUCACUUUCUCAAGUUCUAUCACAAUGGAAAUAUUCUGAAUCGAGUAGAAUAUUAGAAUUUUCCCUCCAAAGUGUUAUUGAUGGAUUCAUUUUCGCUUAUAUGAUUCACAUUCCUAGCAUAACAAUGCAGUAAGAUUUAAAUUAUAUUUUUGUUAGAUUUAAUAAUGUCAUUGAUGGAUAAAAUAGAAAUAUUCUCAAUUCAAUUAAUUUGCAUUGUAUACUGAUAAUAGAAUUUAGAACUCCCUGCUAUGAAGUAUUAGUGAUGGAUAUAAACAAUGAAUUUUGUAUUCCAUUUAUUAGCAUUGUUUCCUCUCAUACGGUACUCUAAUUAAUUCAAUCCAUUCAGUUGUCUUGACCUAAUUCGUAAAAAUGCUUGGAUUGCAUUCAAUAGAAUAUACCUCUUUUUUGACUAAAUCUAUUCAAGUUUGGAGAGAAUGCUUUCCCUACUUAUUAGACCAUAAAUAGUUUCUGAAACUUCAGCUUCUCAAAUAAAGUUCUCAUUUCACAAACCAAUUCAAAAUUAUUUUAUUGCAUUGUUUCAAUUUGCUAAAAGUAGGAGAAUGUUGAGCAAUUUAUUUUGGAGAAUUUUGCCAUUGUUUAGAAUAGCACUAUGGGAAUUGUUGAGGAACCAAAGUAACGAACAACUGGAAAUGGUUAUCACCUCUAAAUCCGGUUCUCUCAAUCAGGAUUUCUCUAGAAAAGGAAAUUCUACAAUUCUACAAAAGAGUUUAAAUCUUACAGUAUUACUAUGCUAGGAAUGUUAUUCAUUUGAAAAUCCACGUGAAAUGUGUAGACCAAUUAUAGAAAUUGAUGAAAUACUAUAGGUUUUCAUUUAAAAGGUUUCAGGUUUUAUGUCUUCCUAUUAAAUUGAUCGGAGUCCAUUGUUUAUCUGGAUCCAAAUAAUGUAGGGAUUUGAAAAAAAUUAGGUGUCACUUUAAAAUUUUAAGCAACUAUUCCCUUAAGUUCUAAUAAUUAUGAGAAUUUUUUUCUAACAUCCACAGUGUAUUAAUGUUAUGGAUGAAGCCAAAGUACAUUAUUAGAAUAUAUUGUGUUCAACUGCAUACUAAUUUAUGCGUUUACUUCUUGUUUAUAAUAAACAGUAUAACUUGAGUA
Molecule: RNA transcript, 4774 nt
Organism: Nilaparvata lugens (brown planthopper)
Lineage: Eukaryota; Metazoa; Arthropoda; Insecta; Hemiptera; Delphacidae
Gene name: G patch domain and ankyrin repeat-containing protein 1 homolog
Exons: 5
Source: RefSeq, a predicted model, not a curated record